UUCACCUGUGCUGCUGGAAGGGGUGGAGCCUGGCUGCACCUCUUCCCGGACCCAUUUAAGAGCUGACUGCCAAUGAGGAAGGUUCUUUUCUGGAGGUCUGUUCUGCUGGAGUUUCAUAGCGAGCCUGGGAUUUGGGGAAGUAUCCUAUCUAUUCUGCUUUGGUGUAAUAAUUGUGUAGCCAAGUUCCCUGGUAUUUCUCGUAACUAUAACAUCUGUAGAUUCACUGAUUGUAUGGCUCCUCUGAAAGAUGCUCUGAGGGCUGAACUUUUCUUGAAAGCUUUGGGAUUUUAUGAUACUUACGCGUGUUGCAAGCUGCAGAGUUUCUUUCUUUCUUUCCCUUCCUUUUGUCCAGUGAAAUGAAAGCAGGAGGCAUGAAAUGCUCCUGGCUUCUGUGUUCUUAGGUGACACAGAUGACAAGGUAUUCAAUCAGCAAAAGGCCACAAAAGCAGCAGGAAGAGGCAGAAUUCUCUGUGUUUGCUGUUGAUAGAAAUACUAGAAGAAAAUCUCAUUACUGUCUUAAUUCCCUCAAAAACAGGAAUAAUAUUAGCAAUGGUGUCUCUUAAAAAUGGCAUCUGAAAGACAUCAUUGUAAACUGAAGAUUUAAUUUAAAAAAUCUAGAAUGGUGAGUUGUUUGUUGUUUUUGUGCCCUAUUUGCCCACCUGAGAAGGUCCAAGGCUGUCCCAGCCACAUGUGCACCUUCUGAUAAUGGUGAGUGAUGAGAUCUGAGUCAUUAUGCUUACACUUCACAGGACAAAGUGGAAAUUUUGUCUUGUUUGAAGGAAGACUCGCUGCUCAGGUGAGCUAUAAAAUGGCAAAGAUAAUUGUAUUUCAUUACACUGAGUUACAGAAAUCUAGCAGCAACUGAAGUACCGUAAUUAGAGUAGAUAUAUGGGGAAAAAAGGUAGGGAAAUGUAUUACUGCAAAUCUUUAUUUAUUGUAACCACUAUGCUCACUAAAUUUCUGGCCAAAACAUGAUUGUUUUGUUGAAACUGUCAUCCUUCUCGUUAAUAAACUAUCCUUUACUAGUUUACAGUAUGACUGGUUACAAGUUUCGUAUUUUGAAAACCCCUCUUACCUAGGCUAGCAUUUUGUUGGGUGCUAUGUCUAGGAAAACCUUGUAAAAUGAUGCAUGGAUGAAAAAGGUCCAUUCCCUCAAGGUUAAAAUUAGAUGAUAGCAAUAGGUGUGCUUGUAGUUGUAUUUCUGCUGUCUUCACAAUCCAUAAAUAGAAAGUAAAUUCAAGAAAUGAGCAUUUCUUACUAACAGAAUUUGAAGACAGCAUGUUCUCUUAUGUAAGCAACAUGUUUUCAGUAAAUUGUUUCAAGCUGUACAUAUGUGUUUGCCAAUCCUCAAAGCAAGCAUUUUCAGCCAGGUUUUUUGGAUGAUAAUAAGAUUAAUGAUAAAAUAACACUGAAAACAAUUUUAAAAUAACCUUAGGGAUUUAACAUAAAUCCAUAAAAACAAGGAAAUUCUGAGUUAAGGCAGCCAGAGUAUAUUUAACUUAGUCAUUUUUCUUCCCAACUGUAACACGUACGCUCAUUUGUUAGGAGGGGAGGGCCUGAGAGCCCUUGAUAAAAGCACAAACCAUAUGUGCACUGAUGUUGUGUUUAUCUUAAUUAUGACUGAUGGUAUGUGUUUCUUAGAAUGGCUUAAUAGCAUUAAGUAAAAUAGCAUGUAUUUUAUUUCCUCUGCUUAUUGUUUAGUACUGCGUAGCUAACAUUACAUCUAGUGGUCAUCCACUUUUUCCAGUGCCUGAAUUCAGUGUAGUGGGUAUUUCUGUAGCUAGACCUCCUGAAAUGAGAGGUAUUAAUUGUUGUAUAAUGCAAUAGAGUUACGAAGGGUUUAAUCUCACCUUCGAAACAUCGUAAUUUUUGUGUCAAGGUAACGUCUUUAUUACAAUUAUUGUGCAAGUAGUGGUUAUACUUAUACAAAGCAAAAUGUGGUCAUAAUUUCAUAUGAUUGUAUGUUUAUAUAAAAGAUCAAGAGAGAAUACCCACAGAAGGACUACACUGACACUGAAAUAUGUUUGUCUAAUGGGGCUAAUAAGACUCAUUUUGGCCUUUGUACUGGAUGUUUUUUUCAAGUAGAUGUUUUAUGUCAACUCUUGUAAGCUUAUGAAAGAUGCAAACAAGGAAAAUUCAACUGUGUAAUUUGCUGACAAUAAGAGGAUUUAUCAGCCUGCUAGAAACUGUAAAUGUGCUGCACAGACCUGCAACUUGAUCUGAAGGAGCAGUUAUUAGCGGUAUUAGGUUAUAAACCUCCCUGCCACAGAAAAGCCUUAUGAGGUCUGACGUGCUUAUUGCAUGCUGAAUCUCUGACGAGCUGCCUUGCGAAGUUCUGGCAAGUUUCUGCUGAACAUAUGCACAGUGCAGUUUUUCCAGACGUGCUACAGUGCGAAAUUUCAGUUGAUUUUCAAAGGAUGAUCCCUGAACAGCCCCAUACUCCCCACCCCGCAUUUCCAGUCCUUGGUCAAAACUACAUGUAGGGAAGACUUAGCAUCAGGAAAACAUAAUGUUGCUUUUCAUCUGUAUUGUUGGGAAUUGAAAUGUUUUAAGGCAGAAUUUUUCAUUAUAAAAAAUCUGAGGAAGCCUGGCAGGAUGAAAGAGACCAAGUCAAGGAGUUAAUCCUGCAAAAUCAGACAGUGCAAAAAGCAGGGGGUCUUCUAAUGAGAAGGCUUGGGCAGCUAACCUAAUAAUAAUCCUACUGUAUUAGUCUGUAAUUAGAUCACUUCCUUCUGAGAUGACCAAGAAAUAAAUCCUUAUAUGACACUAGUGCCAACAUCUCAUGUCUCAUACCAAGUCGUUGCCUGAAAUCCAAAGAUGUAAAUUUAUAGACGUAUCAAAUAAAUUCACAGGUAGCGUUGCUUUCUGAAACAGGCAGCCUGAUAAGGCAAAGUGAGGUGAAAUCUCACAUCAGUGGGCCAGCCAGCAAAACGCAGUGCAAUUCAAUGACCAUCAGAGACCGCCUGUUUAUCCACCUGAGUUACAGAAAUGGGAGAUGUCCUCAUUCUUUUCACACUCUGAGGACUCGGACAUCUCUUGGAAACUAUGGGCUGGAGCAUGUUAUUUAAGAGGAAAGUACUUACUAGUAGGGAGUAACCCUGUAUUUAGAUUGCCAAAUCCUUUCCGCUGUAAAAACAUCUUUUGACCUUUCUGGGAAAGCUGUAGUUCUCCCUUUGUGCAUGGGAAGCCUCUGAAAGUUGAGGAGAGAGAGCACCUUGGAAACGGAGAAGUAUCUUUUCCACCUCUUGCGUGCUUCUGCUCAGCUCUGGCUAAGGCACAUGCUCGCUUAAGCCCUCCAUUUCCCACUUCCCUUCAUAAAAUGGCAGAAUCAAAGUCUCCGGAUGAAGCUGGGAGAAAGACCUGGCUGAACAACUCUCAGCUAAGGAAGGAGGUCUGCUGCUUCUCUCUUCUCCUGGCCAUGCUCCUCUUCUGGUUCAUUUUGUGCCAGCACUGGCACCUUCAUGCUUUGCCCAAAUUCACAAACCUUGCAGAAAACUAUUACUGCACCAGGGAAUGAGCCGAUUCAGUUCAAGGCAUGUGGGACAGCUAGCAUGAGGACAGAGCUGUUAUCAAGUGGCCAAGAGGAUGGAGGAGAAGGAGUGAGAUCAAAGGGAGAGCAAAUCCUCUUUUUCAGUGACACUUUGGUCCAGCUUAGCCAUUUGGGAAGCUGUGGUCCCAGGCAUUUAUUCUGCUUGGAGCUGUGGAAACACACAUCUUCUCCAGGGAGAUGGGUAGAGAGAUUCAGGCUGAGUGUCCUUGACAAUUUCUUCUGCUCCUGCACUUUGACACAGUGUACAGGUUUAGAGAAAAAAUUGUCCCUGUCGUAGGUUGUCUCCUGUUCGAUUGUACUGUAGUGGGGCAUAUUAAAUUUCAGCCCUGUUCUUUAUAGGGCUGGGCCUUCAGACAUAAAAUGGCAAGAAGUAACUUCCAAAAUAAGAUUAUUAGAUCAAAUAUGUCUAGGAAAUGCUGAAAUGCUUGAAAAUGUGAGUCUGUUGUGAGCAUCCCUAAUUUAGUCCUCUUCUCCUAUGUUCAUGAUGGCACCUUUCUUCAGUGGCACGGGCUCAUCUUUGUCCUGCCUGCAGCUCCCCCUCAUCUUGCAGUGAAUGGAAGUAGCAGGAACUGUUAUAAAGAAGAAAUUGAAGAUUCUGCGUAGGCUUUGGAUGCUGAAUAAGUAUGUCACUAGCCAAAUUGUGAAGACUAGAUAUCUUACAGCUAGCACGCUCUUUGAAUAGUAGAUUCUGUGCUUUAAUCCGACUCCAGAGUACAAAAAUAGCUUUUAAGAAUAAAACUCAAGAUACUAUCAGAAUGCUUACGUAGAAGUGAGCUGAACAGCAGUUAUAUUAGGCAAUCUAAAUUCUGGCAAUACUUGACUUUAACAGAGCUAGAUUUUGCCAUCUUAAUGGUGUGAGUGGGGCCCGUACAAUUGUUUGUACGUCAUUAACAUGAAAGAAAUGAAUAACCAUUCACAAAGCCUUUCCUACGUGCAUUGUGUUCCUUUGUCCAUGAGGAUUAACUCCUUUCUAAGCAAAUCUUCAAAAAGGAAAAUUAUGUACUUAUUAAAAUAACUCAUUUUAGAGCUUCAUAUUUUCACUUAGAUCUUAAUCAAGCUAUUAUUGUAAUUAAAAUAUCCUGAAGUGAGUUCAGAUUUCAUAAAUAGGGAUUUUUUUCCAGGCUGCCUUUGCGUGUGGAGCAAGUUAGCAGAGAGCACGCAGCUUGUAAUGGGGCUCGUUAGUUCCCAUAGUCCUUGCUCAGAGUUUCUUCAGUGACUCAGCUGGAGACCCCGCUGAUCUCUGAAAUGUUUGCCAAAUUUAUUUUCCUGACAUCUCAUAAAGUUUCCAAUUGCAAGUCUCUUACAUACGAGAGUCUCUUGCUCUUGUAUGUCAUAAAAAUACAUUCGAACUCCGAAUUAAAUUGGCAAAGCAGAAUGAAGUAGUUUGAGACAAAACUCCUACUGCCUGUUUAAGUCCCCUUUUUCUAUGGCUGAGUAUUACAGUAUUCUCACAACAGAACUGGAAUGUAUCUUUUUUGCUAUUGUUACUUUAAAACCAUCUUUAAGAGUUUACCCAAUAUACCAAGGGUUUUUAACUGAGCUUUGUGGUAGCCAUUCUCUUUCUCUUUAUACGUCCAGAAAUUCCCUGUUCUUUAUUUGCUUUGCUGACCUUUCAGUAGCAAUUAGUGAACAGCUUUGCAUACACAAAUGUGCAGCAGUCUUUUAGCUCAAGCUAAAACAGAAAUAAUUAUCUCCCUGCAUCUACACAUACUCGUUCUAUUCCUUCUCUCCAGAACUACUUUUGCCCUGGCCUUUGGCACCAUUAAAAUGUAUACAAGUCUCUUUUGUUCAAGUUUGCUUUCCUCUCUCAGUUCGUUGCUGCCUGCUUUGUUUGCCUUUUCUCAGUUAUUAACUGAGUGCCUUCCAUUUCUUUUUUCCCUUCCUUGUACAUAGUUGCACCAAGAGCAAAGCAUGUGGGAUCUUGAUCUCCUCCCUCUGGGAGCCACUGAAGAUCUGUAAGCUGUAGUAGCAUUAUAAAGAUGCAGGUGAUGGCUUUGGAACAUUUGGUAGCUGGUGGCUGCCACAGCAUGAAGCCUGAUAGCAUUGCAAAGCAGAGAAGCCUAAAGCCAGUUUCAGCUCUUCUGCAGCUCUUCUACAAUCUCUGAACCUGAACUAACAGGCUCCUGAUUGAUAGGGAUACAGUCAUCCCUAUAAACUUGCCUCAAGUAAGCUAAAUCUUUUUGAGCAAUUACAGCUGACUCUGUAAGGGUGUAUUACAUGUUCAGUGGAUGGCAAAGUUGCUUUGUUAGUCUCUUGCUCCUCUAGAAUAAUUUUGUCUCCAUUUUCUAUCUGCUGUCUUUGGUGACUUUGCUUUGGUGACCUUCAAAAUACAGUGGGCCAAACAUGGUGCUGUCAUGCAUGGGAUUGGUGCCACGAACAACAGAAUGAAGUAGAAGAGCAGUAAGUUCAACCUUUCUUUCUCCCUCUGAGGAGUCCACUCCCUUCACAGAGCACAGAGUUCAGCUCUCAGCCCAGACCACCCACGUCAUGAAUGAAUGCUCUGAACUUGCCCUCCAACCACCUGGAACUGGAUAGCUGCCUUUCAAAAUAGACUAUACCUUCUUUUGCUUCUUAAUAUCUCAGUUUGCAACAGGAAACCUGAGGAGUCAGACUUGCAUGCCCGCAGGAAUUUGGAGCCUCUUUAUUCAGAAUAAGUAGUGUUGCUACUCGGUGCUUAAGGAGAAACUGAUCGCUUGCAUCCACACAAUGCCCCGGUGAUUUGGUCUUCACAAAUCUGCAAAGAAAUUUGGUGCUUGGUGACUGCUGUCACUCACACCGCUGCUAGAUGUUGGGGGAGAACCUCUAGUGGCAGUAGCAGGACUCAGGCUUAUCAUCCCAGAAGGCUUCAGCUCUAGCACAGGUAAUACUGAAGUGAAUGUCACUGCUUGACAAAGUUAGGGUGAGAGGCUUAAGAAGAAGUGCCGUUAAUUGCCAAUGGAAGCACGAGUGAGGUCUUCCUCUGAUCCUUCUUAACACUUUGGCAUGCCCACUAAGAACAGAAAACAGGACAGAAUUAUGCAACAAUGAUAUAAUUAUCAAAUAGUGUCUAAAUAGUCCAUUCUCAUCUGCCUGGCAGCUCUGGAGAUGAGUUCUGGGAGGACAGGCAACACCUGGGUUCUGGCAAAGCAAGACUUUGAAGUUCAUGUUGCUGAAAGCAUGUCUGACUGCUGAAAGGGAUAAACAGAAGGGUCCUGCUCCAGAAGUCGCAGAGGCUAACCAGUGCUAAACAGCAGUUAUCCGUGGAAAUAUCGUAAGUUUCUGCACAAGGUCCUGCAUUUCUAGACUCUGUCCCAGCAUCUGCAGUCAGGAGAUAAGUCCAACAUUUCCCUACUACCAACCUUUGUAACAUUCAGAGAAAAUAGCAGAAUUUUUGUGUGUAAAUUUGUUUCUAGUUGUGUGCAGCGAAGAAGAGAGAGAAUUGCUGAUGAAGACUUCAUCAAAAGUGGAAUACUGAUCAACGUCUCACUACAUAAACCAAAGAUCGUUUACUGCCAGUGAUGCGCUUUGAUUUUUAUGUCAAAUUCAACCGUAGCAUAACAGCAUUAAUUGACCGUAAGGAUUUAUUUGACUUUUCUUUUUCAAAUGUUUUCAUAUUGUUUCUGGAAAAAAUAUGUGCUAACAGAUUUGCAAUGCACUUAAUUGACAUUCUUGAAGUUUGUGGUGGCCUGCAUUCACAUUCCAGCGCUUCCUCCUGCAUAAACCAAAGCACCUUCCAGAUGUGGUUGAUAAAUUGAUUGUGCUUCUGCUCUGCAAAAGUUGUAUCAAGAUUUCUUAAUGAGAAGCAUGAGCUUUUAUUUAAUUUCAGCUUUUCCAUUCCAGUAAACUCAUCUUUUCAUAGUGACAAAGCCAGCUCUACAAGGUUCAAUCUGGAAGCCCUUUGAGGUUCCUUGCCUGCCAGGAAGGGAAGAGUCAGCUGCUGCUGGGUGAGCACUGGGAGGAGAAACAAUCUGAGAGACUUGCAGACCAUCAUCCAGCCAUUAAAAGGGCAGAGGGAGAAAUGCGAACAAACAGAAUUUCCAGAUUAAUCCUUCCUUGUAUCCUGUUUUUUCCGUUUUAACUUUUAGAUGAAAAACUCCACGGGAUAAAACUUCGUUGUUUGUGUUUCGGGAUUUGUGCAGCAUCAAGCAGAGUAUUGUUAAGGGCAGUAUAAUUCUUCAUGGAUGAGGCAAUGCCAGCUAUGAGUGAUUUAUUUACAGACAGAAAGAAAAGUAUUUUUAAAUGCAUCAAUACCUGUUUUAAUGUGUUUUAGGUGAAACUCAGUUUCCUUUAUGGUCAAGGCUUUAGAAAAAUGUUAGAUCUUCCUAGGCCUAAUAUUUAAAACUUUUCCUCUCAUAAUUAAUGCAGGAUGCUAAAAAGAUUUCAAAAUGGGUUACAUAAAUAAUUAUUUCACUAAUAUGUCUAAAAACAUAACCUGUUUUCCUGGACUAGACAGACAUUUCUUGCAACACUGCAUUUUAAUCCACAUUCCACUGCCUGGAAAAGAUACGCUUAAUUCUUUGGAAAAGAGCUCUAAGAAGUGAGAAAUUGAAAAAUGCUGGCUCCAUCAAUUUUUAGAGCCAGUACGUUUCCCUUUGCUUCAUGGUUGCCAAGAUCUUUUAUCCAUUACGGAUACUCAGACUUACAUCUACUCACUUCACUUGCACAGAUCCAUAUAUUAUGAGGUACUGGAUUCCAGAGUAAGUCUUACCAAAGCACUGCUGAGAUGGCCCCUUAUAUCCUACGAGACCAUCCAUAUUGUGAAAGCUAACAUACUGUUAGGGAAGCAUUGUUAGAUUUACUGCAUAUGAAAGGAAAAAGCAUUCUCUAAAAUUAAGAAAAAUUAAUUUAGCAUGUUAUGUAAAUUUGAGAACGCCUGAUGUUUAUAUGUUAACCUGAGCUGAGCCUGCUUAUAAGGUAAUGCACUCCUUUCUAAUAACUGGGAUGUUGUAUUUUUUUAAUGUUCUCAUUCAUAUAUAUUUUCAUAAUGGAUUGGUUUUCUUUUGUGUCACUCAAACAUUCGUUAUGUUCUUUCUAAGGCACUUUGCUAUGUGAGCUGCACAGAGAUUUCUGAUAAUAAUACUCAUCAGGUGAAUUGCUUUUACCUCUUUCCUGGUUGUCUUCUCUUAUCUUGCUAGACUUAUUUCCCUGGCUAUGUCUGAUAUAAUCCAAGUGCACGUCCAGGGCUUCUCAUUGCAGGAAACAGAGCCUACCUUUUUCAAGUGAUUCUCCUAAUGUAAGCACUCUUCUACAUAGCAGUCACACAAGGAUAUUUGCCAGCACCAUAUUUCAAAUCAUUCCAUUCUGUGCUUUUCAACAACAUUAACAUCUCACGAUUCACUUUCGCUUGUGGGAAAAGCAAGUCUUUUGGUCAGUCAUUUUGAGAUGUUGUGUCUUUAUUUUAACUCUGAUUUUCAUCAGGGAAAGUGGCUGUUCCCAGUUUUUCCUGUUUCCUUGGAACAUCUUCUUGGCUCCUUACAUGGGAUUUCAAGCUCACGGAGCCUGCUUUUAUGAGCCGUUUUUUACUCGCCUAUUUUUACUAAGGACAAAUCAUUUGAUUUUUGUUUUUUGCUACAUUCAGCGAUGGUCACUUGCCAUCUGUUUCUAAGAUUCAAAUUGCAGUUAUGUUGAGCCAGUGAUGGACAAACACAACACUGUGACAUGUUAAUGACAUAGCUAGCUCCCUCUCUGUUACCAGCAUUUGAGCACCCUCUGGUCAGCUGCGUGUCUUGAAGGCUUGUGAUGGGCAAAGUGAGACUCUUCAAAUUGGUCUGCAGUAUUCUCCACAGACAUCACAGCUUCUUACAUUUAAACUGCCCUCUAGAUGUGUUUCUUACAUGUUUCCAUGAUGCAGGGAACAUUUUUUGUGUGGACUUGAGCAUACUUAGUUCUGUUGAUCACUGCACUAUUCUGUGUAGUGCACACUGCUGAUCAGAAAGGACUUUGCUAUAGUAUCAAGAAAAUGACAUGUUUAUCAUAGCUCCUCUAUACAUACCUCCUUGUCACAUCCUGCUCAUAAGA
Non-coding RNA from Meleagris gallopavo (turkey), 9547 nucleotides. Lineage: Eukaryota; Metazoa; Chordata; Aves; Galliformes; Phasianidae. The record is from RefSeq and is a predicted model, not a curated record.